CUCCUGGAAACGGGUGGUAAUGCCGGAUGCUCCGGUUGGAUGCAUGUCCUUCCGGGAAAGAUUUCAUCGGUAUGGGAUGGGGUCGCGUCCUAUCAGGUAGUCGGCGGGGUAACGGCCCACCGAGCCUACGACGGGUAGCCGGCCUGAGAGGGCGACCGGCCACAUUGGGACUGAGAUACGGCCCAGACUCCUACGGGAGGCAGCAGUGGGGAAUAUUGCACAAUGGGCGCAAGCCUGAUGCAGCAACGCCGCGUGCGGGAUGACGGCCUUCGGGUUGUAAACCGCUUUUGAUCGGGAGCAAGCCUUCGGGUGAGUGUACCUUUCGAAUAAGCACCGGCUAACUACGUGCCAGCAGCCGCGGUAAUACGUAGGGUGCAAGCGUUAUCCGGAAUUAUUGGGCGUAAAGGGCUCGUAGGCGGUUCGUCGCGUCCGGUGUGAAAGUCCAUCGCUUAACGGUGGAUCCGCGCCGGGUACGGGCGGGCUUGAGUGCGGUAGGGGAGACUGGAAUUCCCGGUGUAACGGUGGAAUGUGUAGAUAUCGGGAAGAACAC
This 550-nucleotide ribosomal RNA is filed under the name uncultured Bifidobacterium sp. Its description in RNAcentral is "bacterial SSU rRNA". It matches the Rfam family "Bacterial small subunit ribosomal RNA", at positions 147 to 709 of the family's 1533-position model. Lineage: Bacteria; Bacillati; Actinomycetota; Actinomycetes; Bifidobacteriales; Bifidobacteriaceae. The record is from RNAcentral.